CAGUAGCCACGGUAAUACAGAGGGUGCGAGCGUUAAUCGGAUUUACUUGGCGUAAAGCGUGCGUAGGCGGCUUCUUAAGUCGGAUGUGAAAUCCCUGAGCUUAACUUAGGAAUUGCAUUCGAUACUGGGAAGCUAGAGUAUGGGAGAGGAUGGUAGAAUUCCAGGUGUAGCGGUGAAAUGCGUAGAGAUCUGGAGGAAUACCGAUGGCGAAGGCAGCCAUCUGGCCUAAUACUGACGCUGAGGUACGAAAGCAUGGGGAGCAAACAGGAUUAGAUACCCCCGUAGUCCCUGUCUCUUAUAC
Molecule: ribosomal RNA, 301 nt
Filed under: uncultured bacterium
Lineage: Bacteria
Description: partial 16S ribosomal RNA
Rfam family: Bacterial small subunit ribosomal RNA
Source: RNAcentral